UCCCCAAGCCCCCAAUGUAGCCCCCUCGUGAGCUCGCGGUAUUUUCCUUAAAUGAUUGAGCUCCGCUUGGCAUAGCUGACCUGGAGCCUGAGAGGAUUAUGAAAACGUGUGGGAUGUGGGGUAAGGUGGGGCUGGGGA
This 138-nucleotide small nucleolar RNA is filed under the name Vulpes vulpes (red fox). Its description in RNAcentral is "small Cajal body-specific RNA 17 (ENSVVUG00000020300.1)". It matches the Rfam family "small Cajal body-specific RNA 17". Rfam says of the family: scaRNAs are a specific class of small nuclear RNAs which localise to the Cajal bodies and guide the modification of RNA polymerase II transcribed spliceosomal RNAs U1, U2, U4, U5 and U12. The complete human U12-22/U4-8 scaRNA is composed of two tandem C/D box domains (termed U12-22 and U4-8). The 3' C/D domain (U4-8) was also cloned previously by Darzacq and called U91. The record is from Rfam by way of RNAcentral. Lineage: Eukaryota; Metazoa; Chordata; Mammalia; Carnivora; Canidae.